AUGUCGUCCCGGGAGGAAAUGGACAACGCCAUCACAGCCCUCCACGGACAGAGCUUGGAGGGGCGUGUCAUACGAGUGAGUGUCGUGGGGGUGCCAGGCGUGACUGUAAGCAAGGCGGCUCCAGGGGUAGAAAGUCCUCCUCCCCGUCAUGUUGUUGGGCCUUCAUUCCGGUUGCACGUGAACAACCUGUCGUUGAACAUGGAUGACUCUAGGCUGGCUCAGAUGUUCAGCCAGCACAGCAAAGUGGCCUAUGCUAAGGUUAUCCGUGAUAUCCAUAGCGAGCGCUCAAAGGGAUUCAGUUUCGUAGAAAUGGCGUCGCAGGAGGAUAUGGACAAUGCCAUCACGGCCCUCCACGGACAGAGCUUGGAGGGGCGUGUCAUACGAGUGAGUGCUGCGGAGGAGCAGUCGCCAUCAUGA
Molecule: ribosomal RNA, 417 nt
Filed under: Triticum aestivum (bread wheat)
Lineage: Eukaryota; Viridiplantae; Streptophyta; Magnoliopsida; Poales; Poaceae
Description: partial small subunit ribosomal RNA
Source: RNAcentral